RNAcentral lists this ribosomal RNA (208 nucleotides) under uncultured Latescibacterota bacterium. RNAcentral's name for it is "uncultured Latescibacteria bacterium partial 16S ribosomal RNA". It matches the Rfam family "Bacterial small subunit ribosomal RNA", at positions 568 to 775 of the family's 1533-position model. The record is from RNAcentral. Lineage: Bacteria; Pseudomonadati; Candidatus Latescibacterota.
CGUGUAGGCGGUCAGGUAAGUGGAAUGUGAAAUGCCCCGGCUCACCCGGGGACCGGCAUCCCAAACUGCCUGGCUUGAGUAUGGGAGAGGAUGGAGGAAUUCCUGGUGUAGCGGUGAAAUGCGUAGAUAUCAGGAGGAACACCGGUGGCGAAGGCGUCCAUCUGGCCCAAUACUGACGCUGAGGCGCGAAAGCUAGGGGAGCAAGCGG